GACGAACGCUGGCGGCGUGCUUAACACAUGCAAGUCGAACGGAAAGGCCCUGCUUUGUGGGGUGCUCGAGUGGCGAACGGUGAGUAACACGUGAGUAACCUGCCCUUGACUUUGGGAUAACUUCAGGAAACUGGGGCUAAUACCGGAUAGGAGCUCCUGCUGCAUGGUGGGGUUGGAAAGUUUCGGCGGUUGGGAUGGACUCGCGGCUUAUCAGCUUGUUGGUGGGGUAGUGGCUUACCAAGGCUUUGACGGUAGCCGGCCUGAGAGGGUGACCGGCCACAUUGGGACUGAGAUACGGCCCAGACUCCUACGGGAGGCAGCAGUGGGGAAUAUUGCACAAUGGGCGGAAGCCUGAUGCAGCAACGCCGCGUGCGGGAUGACGGCCUCGGUGUAAACCGCUUUCGCCUGUGACGAAGCGUGAGUGACGGUAAUGGGUAAAGAAGGACACCGGCUAACUACGUGCCAGCAGCCGCGGU
This 476-nucleotide ribosomal RNA is filed under the name uncultured bacterium. RNAcentral's name for it is "bacterial SSU rRNA". It matches the Rfam family "Bacterial small subunit ribosomal RNA", at positions 28 to 521 of the family's 1533-position model. The record is from RNAcentral.